AAUCAACGCUGGCGGCGUGCCUAACACAUGCAAGUCGAACGCGAAAGCCCCUUCGGGGUAAGGUAGAGUGGCGUCCGGGUGAGUAACACGUAGGUAAUCUACCUUCGGGUGGGGAAGUAACUCGCCGAAAGGACGAGCUAAUACCGCAUAAUGCAGCGGCACCUAAUGGUGAUUAGUUGUUAAAGCGGGGGAGUCGUAAGACCUCGCGCCUGAAGAGGAGCCUGCGGCAGAUUAGCUAGNGGUGAGGUAAUGGCUCACCAAGGCUUCGAUCUGUAGC
Molecule: ribosomal RNA, 277 nt
Filed under: uncultured bacterium
Lineage: Bacteria
Description: partial 16S ribosomal RNA
Rfam family: Bacterial small subunit ribosomal RNA
Source: RNAcentral